Molecule: ribosomal RNA, 253 nt
Filed under: uncultured bacterium
Lineage: Bacteria
Description: partial 16S ribosomal RNA
Rfam family: Bacterial small subunit ribosomal RNA
Source: RNAcentral
UACGUAGGUGGCAAGCGUUGUCCGGAAUUACUGGGCGUAAAGUGUGCGCAGGCGGCCGAGCAAGUCGAGUGUGAAAGCCCCGAGCUUAACUUGGGAACUGCGCUCGAAACUACUUGGCUAGAGUGUGGCAGAGGGAGGUGGAAUUCCACGUGUAGCGGUGAAAUGCGUAGAGAUGUGGAGGAACACCGAUGGCGAAGGCAGCCUCCUGGGCCAACACUGACACUGAGGAGCGAAAGCCAGGGGAGCAAACGGG